RNAcentral lists this ribosomal RNA (292 nucleotides) under uncultured bacterium. Its description in RNAcentral is "partial 16S ribosomal RNA". It matches the Rfam family "Bacterial small subunit ribosomal RNA", at positions 505 to 796 of the family's 1533-position model. The record is from RNAcentral.
GUGUCAGCAGCCGCGGUAAUACGGAAGGGGCUAGCGUUGUUCGGAAUCACUGGGCGUAAAGCGCGCGUAGGCGGCCGGUCAAGUGCGGCGUGAAAGUCCUGGGCUCAACCCGGGGACGGCGCUGCGGACUGUCCGGCUGGAGUCCGGAAGAGGGUGGUGGAAUUCCGAGUGUAGAGGUGAAAUUCGUAGAUAUUCGGAGGAACACCGGUGGCGAAGGCGGCCACCUGGUCCGGUACUGACGCUCAAGCGCGAAAGCGUGGGGAGCAAACAGGAUUAGAUACCCUGGUAGUCC